Molecule: microRNA precursor, 58 nt
Filed under: Bactrocera dorsalis (oriental fruit fly)
Lineage: Eukaryota; Metazoa; Arthropoda; Insecta; Diptera; Tephritidae
Description: let-7 stem-loop (bdo-let-7)
Gene: bdo-let-7
Source: miRBase by way of RNAcentral
UGAGGUAGUAGGUUGUAUAGUAGUAUUAACGGCAUGCUAUACAACGUGCUAGCUUUCU